RNAcentral lists this ribosomal RNA (1893 nucleotides) under human gut metagenome. RNAcentral's name for it is "bacterial LSU rRNA". It matches the Rfam family "Bacterial large subunit ribosomal RNA", at positions 3 to 1990 of the family's 2925-position model. The record is from RNAcentral.
UCAAGCUAAAAAGGGCGCAAGGUGAAUGCCUUGGCACUGGGAGCCGAUGAAAGACGUGGUAAGCUGCGAAAAGCUUCGGGGAGGAGCAAACAUCCAUUGAUCCGGAGAUAUCUGAAUGGGGCAACCCAAUGGAGUUCAUACUCCAUUAUCCAAUACUGAAUCCAUAGGUAUUGGAAGGGAACCGCCUGAACUGAAACAUCUAAGUAGGGCGAGGAAGAGACAUCAAACGAGAUUCCGUAAGUAGUGGCGAGCGAACGCGGAAGAGGGCAAACCGGGAGUAGAAAUACUUCCGGGGUACGGAGCGCAUUUAGGACUCAAGUUGUUAACCGAACGGCAUGGGAAGGCCGGUCAGAGAGUGUGAGAACCACGUAGGUGAAAACGACAAGAGCUGAGCGAGUUCCAGAGUACGGCCAGACACGUGAAACCUGGUCGGAAUACGGGGGGACCACCCUCCAACCCUAAAUACUACCCAGUGACCGAUAGCGUAUAGUACUGUGAAGGAAAGGUGAAAAGGACCCCGGGAGGGGAGUGAAAGAGAACCUGAAACCUUGUGCCUACAAGCACAUAGAGCCCGUCAAAGGGUGAUAUGGUACUUUUUGUAGAACGGUCCGGCGAGCGAUUGUACGUUGCAAGCUUAAGGUCUUAAGGACUGGAGGCGUAGCGAGAGCGAGUCUAAACAGGGCGUUUAGUAGCGUGCAAUGGGCCCGAAACCGGGUGACCUACCCAUGAUCAGGCUGAAGUGAAAGUAAAAUUUCAUGGAGGGCCGAACCGACCUCCGUUGAAAAGGCGGCGGAUGAAUUGUGGGUAGCGGAGAAAUUCCAAUCGAACUCGGAGAUAGCUGGUUCUCCCCGAAAUAGCUUUAGGGCUAGCCUCAUGUUAGAUAUCCGGAGGUAAAGCACUGAAUGGCCUAGCGUCCGAGAGGAUAGCGAAGCCUAUCAAACUAAGAAUGCCGGAAUAUUGAUGCAUGGGAGUCAGACAGUGUGAGAUAAAUCUCAUUGUCAAAAGGGAAACAGCCCAGAUCUACAGCUAAGGUCCCAAAUUGUAUCUAAGUGGAAAACGAUGUGGAAAUACGCAGACAACCAGGAUGUUGGCUCAGAAGCAGCCACUCAUUUAAAGAGUGCGUAAUAGCUCACUGGUCGAGCGUCUCUGCGCGGAAAAUUUAACGGGGCUAAGAUACAAACCGAAGCUUAGGCUGCAUACGGAAGUAUGCGGGGUAGGGGAGCGUUGUGUAAGCGGAGAAACAGUAGCGGAAGCGGCUGUGGAGUUUACAGAAGUGAGAAUGCCGGAAUGAGUAGCGCGAAUGAUGUGAGAAUCAUCAUGGCCGGAAACCUCAGGUUUUUGGAGGAAGGUUCGUCCGCUCCAAGUUAGGCGGGAGCUAAGGUGAGGCCGAAAGGCGUAGCCGAUGCACAGACGGUAGAGAUUCCGUCCCCACCGAAAGAUUUAAGCGCAGGGACACUUUUAGAAGGUCGGAGCCAGGUGUUGGUUCUGGUAGAGAUCGAGGGAAGAUUAGUACCGAAGUCCGGCUGGAUAAGAGGCGAGAAAAGCUGCGUGUAUAUCUAAGGUGCCCGUACCGCAAACCGACACAGGUAGGUAGGAAGAAGAUUCUAAGGCCAACGGGAGAAGGGUUGUUAAGGAACUCGGCAAAUUGACCCCGUAACUUCGGGAGAAGGGGUGCUCCAGAGAUGGAGCCGCAGAGAAUCGGCCCAAGCAACUGUUUACCAAAAACACAGGUUUGUGCUAAAUCGAAAGAUGACGUAUACGAGCUGACGCCUGCCCGGUGCUGGAAGGUUAAGAGGAGAUGUGCAAGCAUUGAAUCGAAGCCCCAGUGAACGGCGGCCGUAACUAUAACGGUCCUAAGGUAGCGAAAUUCCUUGUCAGGUAAGUUCUGACCCG